UGGGGAUUAGCCAAGUGGUAAGGCAACGGACUCUGACUCCGUCAUUCAAAGGUUCAAAUCCUUUAUCCCCAGCCA
Molecule: transfer RNA, 75 nt
Filed under: Bacillota bacterium
Lineage: Bacteria; Bacillati; Bacillota
Also listed under: 2 other names
Description: tRNA-Gln
Rfam family: tRNA
About the family: Transfer RNA (tRNA) molecules are approximately 80 nucleotides in length. Their secondary structure includes four short double-helical elements and three loops (D, anti-codon, and T loops).
Source: RNAcentral